AGGCAGGGUGUGUAAGCGUUGUGAGGCGUUGAGCUAACCUGUACUAAUUGCCCGUGAGGCUUAACCAUACAACACCCAAAGGGUUUUG
This 88-nucleotide ribosomal RNA is filed under the name Vibrio sp. VPAP30. RNAcentral's name for it is "partial 23S ribosomal RNA". Lineage: Bacteria; Pseudomonadati; Pseudomonadota; Gammaproteobacteria; Vibrionales; Vibrionaceae. The record is from RNAcentral.